RNAcentral lists this ribosomal RNA (326 nucleotides) under uncultured eukaryote. RNAcentral describes it as "partial 18S ribosomal RNA". It matches the Rfam family "Eukaryotic small subunit ribosomal RNA", at positions 1470 to 1796 of the family's 1831-position model. The record is from RNAcentral.
CCCUUAGAUGUCCGGGGCCGCACGCGCGCUACACUGACGAAGUCAGCGAGCAUCUCCUUCGCCGAAAGGUGCGGGGAAUCUUGUGAAACUUUGUCGUGCUGGGGAUUGAUUUUUGAAAUUCUUGAUCAUCAACGAGGAAUUCCUAGUAAGCGCAAGUCAGCAGCUUGCGUUGAUUACGUCCCUGCCCUUUGUACACACCGCCCGUCGCUCCUACCGAUUGGGUGUGCUGGUGAAAUGUUCGGAUCGGCCGUUUGUCGCGGUUUCCGCGGCUCGUGGCUGAGAAGUUCAUUAAACCCUCCCACCUAGAGGAAGGAGAAGUCGUAACA